UGCUGUUAGGAUCUUUCUUGGUCUCAUCUCUGUUAUUACUGAAACCAUUCUGGUUUAUGCUCUGUCAAGAAAGUAUGGAAAAUGUCUUGCCUCGUAUACUUGCUAUGCUAUGCUUAACCAGCGGUUGUUUCUUUGCUAGUACAAGUUUCUUGCCAAGUUCGUUCUCUAUGUAUGCUGUGACUGGUAUAAAGAAGGCCAUGCCGCACACUAUAUAUAUAUAUAUAU
Molecule: long non-coding RNA, 225 nt
Organism: Rosa chinensis
Lineage: Eukaryota; Viridiplantae; Streptophyta; Magnoliopsida; Rosales; Rosaceae
Exons: 3
Source: RefSeq, a predicted model, not a curated record